This 1343-nucleotide ribosomal RNA is filed under the name uncultured bacterium. Its description in RNAcentral is "16S ribosomal RNA". It matches the Rfam family "Bacterial small subunit ribosomal RNA", at positions 28 to 1378 of the family's 1533-position model. The record is from RNAcentral.
GACGAACGCUGGCGGCGUGCUUAACACAUGCAAGUCGAACGGAAAGGCCCUGCUUUUGUGGGGUGCUCGAGUGGCGAACGGGUGAGUAACACGUGAGUAACCUGCCCUUGACUUUGGGAUAACUUCAGGAAACUGGGGCUAAUACCGGAUAGGAGCUCCUGCUGCAUGGUGGGGGUUGGAAAGUUUCGGCGGUUGGGGAUGGACUCGCGGCUUAUCAGCUUGUUGGUGGGGUAGUGGCUUACCAAGGCUUUGACGGGUAGCCGGCCUGAGAGGGUGACCGGCCACAUUGGGACUGAGAUACGGCCCAGACUCCUACGGGAGGCAGCAGUGGGGAAUAUUGCACAAUGGGCGGAAGCCUGAUGCAGCAACGCCGCGUGCGGGAUGACGGCCUUCGGGUUGUAAACCGCUUUCGCCUGUGACGAAGCGUGAGUGACGGUAAUGGGUGAAGAAGCACCGGCUAACUACGUGCCAGCAGCCGCGGUGAUACGUAGGGUGCGAGCGUUGUCCGGAUUUAUUGGGCGUAAAGGGCUCGUAGGUGGUUGAUCGCGUCGGAAGUGUAAUCUUGGGGCUUAACCCUGAGCGUGCUUUCGAUACGGGUUGACUUGAGGAAGGUAGGGGAGAAUGGAAUUCCUGGUGGAGCGGUGGAAUGCGCAGAUAUCAGGAGGAACACCAGUGGCGAAGGCGGUUCUCUGGGCCUUUCCUGACGCUGAGGAGCGAAAGCGUGGGGAGCGAACAGGCUUAGAUACCCUGGUAGUCCACGCUGUAAACGGUGGGUACUAGGUGUGGGGUCCAUUCCACGGGUUCCGUGCCGUAGCUAACGCUUUAAGUACCCCGCCUGGGGAGUACGGCCGCAAGGCUAAAACUCAAAGGAAUUGACGGGGCCCCGCACAAGCGGCGGAGCAUGCGGAUUAAUUCGAUGCAACGCGUAGAACCUUACCUGGGUUUGACAUGGAUCGGGAGCGCUCAGAGAUGGGUGUGCCUCUUUUGGGGUCGGUUCACAGGUGGUGCAUGGCUGUCGUCAGCUCGUGUCGUGAGAUGUUGGGUUAAGUCCCGCAACGAGCGCAACCCUUGUUCACUGUUGCCAGCACGUUAUGGUGGGGACUCAGUGGAGACCGCCGGGGUCAACUCGGAGGAAGGUGGGGAUGACGUCAAGUCAUCAUGCCCCUUAUGUCCAGGGCUUCACGCAUGCUACAAUGGCUGGUACAGAGAGUGGCGAGCCUGUGAGGGUGAGCGAAUCUCGGAAAGCCGGUCUCAGUUCGGAUUGGGGUCUGCAACUCGACCUCAUGAAGUCGGAGUCGCUAGUAAUCGCAGAUCAGCAACGCUGCGGUGAAUACGUUCCCGGG